AAGUCGUAACAAGGUUUCCGUAGGUGAACCUGCGGAAGGAUCAUUAAUGAAGUUUUUUUGGGGUUUUAAUCUCAAAAAAUAAUUCACCUUUUGUGCAUUGUUAUUAGAAAUACUUUGGUUAGAGCUUUGAUUUCAUUUAAUGGAAUCAACUUCUUGCUAACUCUAUCCUUUCUGAGGACAGUUGGCUAUGAAGCGACCUACCAAGGUUUUUUAUCAAACUCUUGUAUUUUGUCUGACCUAAAUAUCAAUAAUUAAAUCAUAACUUUCAACAACGGAUCUCUUGGCUCUC
RNAcentral lists this unclassified non-coding RNA (289 nucleotides) under fungal sp. Its description in RNAcentral is "partial internal transcribed spacer region". The stretch from base 1 to 46 matches the Rfam family "Eukaryotic small subunit ribosomal RNA", at positions 1786 to 1831 of the family's 1831-position model. The record is from RNAcentral. Lineage: Eukaryota; Fungi.